Hipposideros armiger (great roundleaf bat) is the source of this 1689-nucleotide long non-coding RNA. RefSeq lists it as uncharacterized. The record is from RefSeq and is a predicted model, not a curated record. Lineage: Eukaryota; Metazoa; Chordata; Mammalia; Chiroptera; Hipposideridae. The transcript has 2 exons.
UUCACCUGUGAACCAUCUGGGCCUGGUGCUUUGUUUUAGAGUUAUUGAUUCAAUUUCUUUAAUAGAUUUAGGCCUAUUCAAAUUAUCUACUUCUCUGUUAGUUUGGGUAGCUUGUUUUUCAAGGAAUUAUUCCAUUUCAUCUAGGUUAUCAUAUCUGUGGGGAUAGAGUUGAACACGCUUUUUUAUCCUUCUAAUGUCCACAGAAUAAGUAAUGAUGGCCCCUUUCAUUUCUACUAGUAAUUUAUGUCUUUUUUAUUAGUUAGCCUAGCUAGUUUAUCAAUUUUCUCAAAGAAUCAGCUUUUGGUUUUGUUGAUUUUCUCUUCUGACUUCCUGUUUUCAAUUUCAUUGAUUUCUGCUCUUUUAUUAUUUCUUUCCUUUUGCUUAACACUUGAUUUAAUUUGCUCUUUUUCUAGCUUCCUAAGGCAAAAACUUAGAUAAUUGAUUUUAGAUCUUCUUUUAAAAUAGGUGCACUUAAUGCUGGAAACUUCCCUCUAAGAACUGCUUUUGCUGCAUCCCACACAUUUGGGUGCGGGUUCCCCUGCGUCUCGUCUCACCACUGUCAGACGGACCUUCCAGCAGCACAGCGCCGCAGCCCAUAGCCUCCCGUUCAAACAUGUUCUGUCCAUGUUCACAGGAAAGGCCAAAGUCCUCCUCCUGGUAUUUAAAGCCUCUACGACCCAAUCCAUCUUGCCAAGCUUGCUUCUCUUACCCCAUUAUCAAACUCCAUGUUCCCUGGGCACCGUCCUGUGCUUUCCCAGCUCCAUGGCUUUGCUCAGGUGUUUCUUUUAGCAGGAUGUCUUACAUCCCCAAAUCUCCAAAGGUUUAGCCUAAGUGCUGUCUCCCUCAAGAUGUCUCUAACCCAGAUGAAGCUACAACUCCCUUCUCUGAAAGCCCAUUUUAUCCUAGUGUUUAUCAUUUGCAACCAGAUCAAACUCCAAGAGGGCAAGAAACUCUGGAGUUGCCUUCCCAGUGUCCCACAGGAUAUGGGGACAGGACAGUGCUUUAAAUCUAGGAACAGCCCCUACUACAUUCCCAGGCAGCAGUCUGAAAAGUGGCUUUCUCUCUUCCCAAGCUUGCCGCAGCAUGUAAAGGAAGGUUCUGGCAUCCACCCUGCUUUGAUGCCUCUCAACAGUCCCUCAAGGUGGGAGACCAGACUGGAAUAAUGUAUCUGGUACCUCCCACAGAGCUGGGCCAGACAGUGAUGCAGAGAACGAGGGACAAAGCUCACCCCGCAGUUCUCCUUCCUGGUUUUUGAUUAGUCCAACUCUUACGGUGAUGAGGUGUGCUGCUUCAGAUUCACGGCAAGAAGUUCAAACAGCACAGAACAAAGAAUCUAUGUUCAUGAAGAACUCGUGGCGAUGCUCCAAGUUCCCCAAACUGAUUCAUUUUUCAUCAGCUUGGCCAUAAGCUUCGUUAAGAGAGGAAGGACUGUAAAUUCCUGAGAAACAUGCCUGUAUUCUGUUGGGUGAGAAAAAUCCUUUAGGAAAAUGUCGGCUCCCUACUCAGGGGUGAUCUCGAGGAACAAAAAACAGCCAUUACACACUGAACUUUUUAUGCUAAGAAAAGUAUCAACAGAGCUCAGGCAAUGCAACUUUGAUUCAAGCACCAUGAAAUUUUGUCAAGCAAAAAUAGUCUUUAUUCAAAUUUAAUGGAAACAGGGGUCACUAUACUUUGCAAGACGGGGAAAAA